RNAcentral lists this ribosomal RNA (461 nucleotides) under uncultured bacterium. RNAcentral describes it as "bacterial SSU rRNA". It matches the Rfam family "Bacterial small subunit ribosomal RNA", at positions 335 to 788 of the family's 1533-position model. The record is from RNAcentral.
ACUCCUACGGGAGGCAGCAGUGGGGAAUUUUGGACAAUGGGCGCAAGCCUGAUCCAGCAAUGCCGCGUGCAGGAUGAAGGCCUUCGGGUUGUAAACUGCUUUUGUACGGAACGAAAAGCCCUGGGUUAAUACCCUGGGGUCAUGACGGUACCGUAAGAAUAAGCACCGGCUAACUACGUGCCAGCAGCCGCGGUAAUACGUAGGGUGCGAGCGUUAAUCGGAAUUACUGGGCGUAAAGCGUGCGCAGGCGGUUUUGUAAGACAGAGGUGAAAUCCCCGGGCUCAACCUGGGAACUGCCUUUGUGACUGCAAGGCUAGAGUACGGCAGAGGGGGAUGGAAUUCCGCGUGUAGCAGUGAAAUGCGUAGAUAUGCGGAGGAACACCGAUGGCGAAGGCAAUCCCCUGGGCCUGUACUGACGCUCAUGCACGAAAGCGUGGGGAGCAAACAGGAUUAGAUACCCU